AUUUAAAUAAUUUAAUAAAAAUAUUGAUUUGGGGAGUCAAAAAUAUGGGGUAAAAUCCUUUUAAAUU
Molecule: transfer RNA, 67 nt
Filed under: Graphium chironides
Lineage: Eukaryota; Metazoa; Arthropoda; Insecta; Lepidoptera; Papilionidae
Description: tRNA-His
Source: RNAcentral